RNAcentral lists this ribosomal RNA (393 nucleotides) under Triticum aestivum (bread wheat). RNAcentral's name for it is "partial small subunit ribosomal RNA". The record is from RNAcentral. Lineage: Eukaryota; Viridiplantae; Streptophyta; Magnoliopsida; Poales; Poaceae.
AUGAGGAAAAUAAAAAGAUGCACUGGUUUUCAUGGUGGAAGCUAUAUAUGUAUUCCCAAGUGUGAUGGUGGCAUGGGCUUUAGAGAUCUCCAUUCUUUUAACCUGGCACUCCUUGCAAAACAAUGUUGAAGAAUGAUAACUAACCCUGAAUCUGUUUGUGCUCACAUAUUGAAGGCAAAGUACUUUCCAAAUACUGAUUUAUUACAUGCAUGCCCAAAGAAUGGUUCCUCAUUCACCUGGCAGAGUAUUGUUGCUGGAUUAACUACUUUUAAAAGAGGGUACAUAUGGUGUUUUGGACCAGGGGAGAACGUGAAUAUUUGGACUGAUCCGUGGAUCCCCUCCGGUCCGGAUAGGAAAAAUUAUCACUCCUCGUGGACAUAUAGUGAUCUCUAA